This 522-nucleotide unclassified non-coding RNA is filed under the name Hevea brasiliensis (rubber tree). The record is from RNAcentral. Lineage: Eukaryota; Viridiplantae; Streptophyta; Magnoliopsida; Malpighiales; Euphorbiaceae.
UUAUUUAUUUAUUUUUUUUGUUUCUCAAUUCUUUAAUGUGUUGAUCGUAACAAGAUUCCAGUAUUUAGUUAUUUACAGCGGCUAAAUCAGAAACUGCUAGAACAGAAUUAUGAGUUGGGAUGUCUUCGAACCAAACACGUAAUGGUUUAGCAGUCGACCUGAAGAGUAUGGGCUGAAAUAUUGGCGGUACGCGGAGAGUGUUGGAAUUUGACGGACUGCCGAUGGGAUGCAACAUGUAGGACAUCAGCUACGCGCAGAUCAUGGGAUCGAGGCACCAGGACACUACCAUUCACCGCUGCCUCAGUCCCCUGAUUAUCGCCCUCAAACUUCAAGGGCUAUCUCCACGCCAAAUCUGACAGCAUGAAUUUCUGCAAGACUAGCAUCACAAUUAGCAUAGACGCGUUUGGCAGCAGCCGUUAACGGAUGACCUUGACAAUCCCGAAUUGCUAUGCUGAGACCCGCAAGGAUAUCAUUCCUGACUAUGAACAAAUAACAAUUAUAUUUUGAGAAUAUUUAACGAAG